GAGCGAUCGUAGCAAUACGGGAGCGGCAAACGGGGUAGGAAUACAUCGGAACGUACCCUCUGGUCGAGGAUAGCGUCGGGAAACUGACGGUAAUACUCGAUAAAGUCGAGAGACCAAAGGUUUACUGCCGGAGGAGCGGCCGAUGCGAUAUUAGGUAGUUGGUGGGGUAAUGGCCUACCAAGCCUGAGAUGUCUAGGGGGUGUGAGAGCAUGGCCCCCACCACUGGGACUGAGAAACUGCCCAGACACCUACGGGUGGCUGCAGUCGAGGAUCUUCGUCAAUGGGCGAAAGCCUGAACGAGCGACGCCGCGUGCGGGAUGAAGGCCCUUGGGUUGUAAACCGCUGUCAGGGGGAUGAAACCGCAAGGUUGACAGAGCCCCAGAGGAAGCACGGGCUAAGUUCGUGCCAGCAGCCGCGGUAAUACGAACUGUGCGAACGUUACUCGGAAUCACUGGGCUUACAGGGUGCGUAGGCGGCUUGCUAAGCAGGGUGUGAAAUCCCUCGGCUCAACCGAGGAACUGCGCUCUGAACUGGG
RNAcentral lists this ribosomal RNA (535 nucleotides) under uncultured bacterium. Its description in RNAcentral is "bacterial SSU rRNA". It matches the Rfam family "Bacterial small subunit ribosomal RNA", at positions 64 to 637 of the family's 1533-position model. The record is from RNAcentral.